CGUCUCUCUGCCCCUCCAUUUUAUCCUCUCCUCUCAUUCCAAUCUCAAAAUACUGAGAGAGAGGGCGACACUGCCUGGAAAGAGAGGCGGCUAAGAAGAAGCAAGAACAACCCCAUGGGAGACACAGCAGAGAAUAAGAUCAUGGAAGAGACUCUUUUAAUCAAAGAAAUUAGAGAUCGCGAUGAUUCCUUAUCAAAUCUAACAUGGCAGGUGUUCAGUCAAGAAGUGAAAAAACUGGGUUACAUAGCAGGACCCAUGGUGGCUGUGACUCUUUCUCAGUACCUUUUGCAAUUUGUUUCCAUCAUGAUGGUUGGUCAUCUUGAUGAGCUUGCUCUCUCUAGCACCGCCAUAGCCAUUUCUCUCGCUAGCGUCACUGGUUUUAGUCUUCUUCUGGGGAUGGCAAGUGCAUUGGAAACUUUAUCUGGACAAGCUUAUGGAGCUAAGCAAUAUCAAAAACUGGGAAUUCAAACUCAGACUGCUAUAUUCUGUUUAAUCCUAGUUUGUAUCCCUCUUUCUGUGAUAUGGAUAAACGUGGGAAACAUACUUAUUUUCAUUGGCCAAGAUCCCAAAAUUUCACAUGAAGCUGGUAAAUUUAUAACGUCGCUAAUUCCUGCACUCUUUGCCUAUGCAACUCUUCAGCCUCUUGUUCGAUACUUUCAGGCACAAAGUUUGAUUUUCCCUAUGGUCCUAAGCUCUUGUGGGACUCUUUGUCUCCAUAUCCCUCUGUGUUGGGCUUUAGUGUUCAAGUCAGGACUAGAAAACCUUGGAGCAGCAUUAGCAAUGUGUAUUUCAAAUUGGACGAAUGUAAUUUUUCUUGGACUAUACAUGAAGUACUCCUCUGCCUGUGCCAAAACACGUGCCCCAAUUUCUAUGCAGUUACUCCAUGGAAUCGGAGAAUUCUUUCGCUUUGCUAUACCUUCUGCAGUAAUGAUCUGCCUUGAAUGGUGGUCAUUUGAGCUGCUUGUGUUGCUCUCAGGACUCUUACCAAAUCCAGAGCUUGAAACGUCAGUCCUAUCUGUUUGUCUCACAAUUAUUUCUACACUCUAUGGAAUUCCAUAUGGAUUUGGUGCUGCAGCAAGUACUAGAGUCUCAAAUGAAUUAGGA
This 1104-nucleotide unclassified non-coding RNA is filed under the name Hevea brasiliensis (rubber tree). Lineage: Eukaryota; Viridiplantae; Streptophyta; Magnoliopsida; Malpighiales; Euphorbiaceae. The record is from RNAcentral.